AUGGCGGGCAACGUUUGUGAGUCACAGGUGUUCGCCAAUGUUCCUGAGGGGUUUGUCAAACUCCUCAUCUCCAUCACCAAGAUCGCGAUCGGGCCAUCAGUCCGUCCGGAGUUCACACUCUACCGGCACAAGCUCAGCGACAGUUUGUCCAUGUACCAGGCCGCAGUUCAGUUCAAGGGAGGACGCGCCGAGUUCCACCGCUUCCGGUUCGUCGGGAGGGCCAUGCCUACGGAGAGGCAUGCCAUGCAGACGGCUGCCCGCGAGGCAAUAGCUCGUCUCCGGGAUGUUCUUUCUUCAAUGAAGACUCGUCGCUACCGCUACCUCCCAUGCCACGUGCCAUACACUUGCCACUAUGCAUUCGCUUGCACCAGGGGAGAAAGAGAUGAGGCUAUUGAGAUGCUUGUUGAGUACCUCAAGGCACUAGAGGCAGCUUUCGACAACCUCGUGGACAACCUCGUAGCUGCUCGCAUGGAUUCCAUCCAUGGCUGCUCCGCCAACAGGAGGGAGCUCCUCCACAUGGCACCACCACUGACGUUCGUCUCGUCCUCAGCAUCAUAUACACCGGCCAUCUUAGCCACCGCUCGUCGCCUACCCACCACCGAGGAGUUUGACCAGGUCAUUGCUCCUACUCCCGUCAGAGCCGCACCACCUGCCACACCCGCGCCAGCUCCACAACCCAGUACUUCGCGCCUGGAGACUAUCAUUGAGGAAGAGGUUGAGUCUCCAGCACCACUGGGUCUUACCCUCGGCAGGCCAAAGGAGGUCUUCACCAUCUCCGACCGAGAACGCCUAGCAGCAGCGUGA
RNAcentral lists this ribosomal RNA (804 nucleotides) under Triticum aestivum (bread wheat). RNAcentral describes it as "partial small subunit ribosomal RNA". Lineage: Eukaryota; Viridiplantae; Streptophyta; Magnoliopsida; Poales; Poaceae. The record is from RNAcentral.